Molecule: unclassified non-coding RNA, 112 nt
Organism: Rhinopithecus bieti (black snub-nosed monkey)
Lineage: Eukaryota; Metazoa; Chordata; Mammalia; Primates; Cercopithecidae
Rfam family: Y RNA
About the family: Y RNAs are components of the Ro ribonucleoprotein particle (Ro RNP), in association with Ro60 and La proteins. The Y RNAs and Ro60 and La proteins are well conserved, but the function of the Ro RNP is not known.
Source: Ensembl
GGCUGGUCUGAAGGCAGUGAGUUAUCUCAACUGCUUGCUCACUGUCAGUUACAGAUUGAAAUCCUUGUUCUACUCUUUCCCCCUUCUCACUACUGUACUUGAAUAGCCUUAU